Molecule: ribosomal RNA, 465 nt
Filed under: uncultured bacterium
Lineage: Bacteria
Description: partial 16S ribosomal RNA
Rfam family: Bacterial small subunit ribosomal RNA
Source: RNAcentral
GACGAACGCUGGCGGCGUGCUUAACACAUGCAAGUCGAACGGAAAGGCCCCUUUGGGGGUACUCGAGUGGCGAACGGGUGAGUAACACGUGAGUAACCUGCCCUUGACUUCGGGAUAACUUCAGGAAACUGGGGCUAAUACCGGCUAGGAAUCCUUGCUGCAUGGUGGGGGUUGGAAAGCUUCGGCGGUUUUGGAUGGACUCGCGGCUUAUCAGCUUGUUGGUGGGGUAGUGGCUUACCAAGGCUUUGACGGGUAGCCGGCCUGAGAGGGCGACCGGCCACAUUGGGACUGAGAUACGGCCCAGACGCCUACGGGAGGAAGAAGUGGGGAAGAUUGCACAAUGGGCGGAAGCCUGAUGCAGCAACGCCGCGGGCGGGAUGACGGCCUUCGGGUUGUAAACCGCGUUCAGCAGGGGCGAAGCUUGUGGUGACGGUACCUGCAGAAGAAGCACCGGCUAACUACGUG